GUAAAGGCCUACCAAGGCGACGAUCUGUAGCGGGUCUGAGAGGAUGAUCCGCCACACUGGGACUGAGACACGGCCCAGACUCCUACGGGAGGCAGCAGUGGGGAAUAUUGGACAAUGGGGGCAACCCUGAUCCAGCAAUGCCGCGUGUGUGAAGAAGGCCUUCGGGUUGUAAAGCACUUUUGUCCGGAACGAAACGUGCGGGGUGAAUAGCCUCGUAAACUGACGGUACCGGAAGAAUCAGCACCGGCUAACUUCGUGCCAGCAGCCGCGGUAAU
Molecule: ribosomal RNA, 275 nt
Filed under: uncultured Burkholderia sp.
Lineage: Bacteria; Pseudomonadati; Pseudomonadota; Betaproteobacteria; Burkholderiales; Burkholderiaceae
Description: partial 16S ribosomal RNA
Rfam family: Bacterial small subunit ribosomal RNA
Source: RNAcentral